This 3760-nucleotide unclassified non-coding RNA is filed under the name Aphidius gifuensis. Its description in RNAcentral is "histone-lysine N-methyltransferase E(z), transcript variant X4". Lineage: Eukaryota; Metazoa; Arthropoda; Insecta; Hymenoptera; Braconidae. The record is from RNAcentral.
ACAAGCCCAUCAAGAUAAGUGACAAAUGACAAUGGCGCUUAGUACUCAGCGUCUUUUAUUUUAUUGACAUUAUUUUUGAUAUAUUAUACUACUCAAUUUAUGGUGAUUAUUAAUAUAAAUUGUCUAAUAAUUAAAAUACCAUCAUGUCAAAAAAUAAAGUGACACCAGAAUGGAAAAAACGAGUGAAAUCAGAGUACAUGAGAUUACGACAAAUGAAAAGAUACAAACGUGCUGAUGAAGUUAAAAUUGCAUGGAAUCAGAAUAGAAAAUCUAUGACUGAUUUAUUAACAACUGAGGAAAAAAGAUGGGCUGAUGGAAAAGCAAUGUGGCUUGCAAUGCAUGAAAUACCAUCUCAUGUAUCAUGCAUGAAAAAAGCUGAAAUAUCAAGUUCUGAAAAUGAAAUACAAAAUUGUCCAAUUAAAGUUUUAAAUGCUGUUACACCAAUACCAACAAUGUACACCUGGGCACCAAUACAACAAAAUUUUAUGGUUGAAGAUGAGACUGUAUUGCACAAUAUUCCAUACAUGGGUGAUGAAAUAUUGGAUCAAGAUGGUACAUUUAUUGAGGAAUUGAUUAAAAAUUACGAUGGAAAAGUUCAUGGUGACAGAGAUUCAGGAUUUAUGGAUGAUUCAAUAUUUGUUGAUUUAGUAAAUGCAUUAAUGAUUUCGGAAAAAGAAGAAAAAGAUCGUGAAUUAACAGCUAAAAAAACAAGAGAUCUAACAAAUAAUAAAGAUGACAAAGAAAAAGAAAGACGAGAUCCUGACUCAAAGCCAAUUGUUAAAAUUGAAAAAAUUGAUGAUAUAUUAGCUGGUAAAAAUACACCACCUCCAAAAGUUCCAUCAAUGCAAAUAUUCAGUGCAAUAUCAUGCAUGUUUCCAGACAAAGGAAGACCAGAAGAACUUCGUGAAAAAUAUAUUGAAUUAACAACACGUUCUGAUCCAAAUGUAUUACCACCAGAAUGUACACCAAAUAUUGAUGGUGUAUGUGCUAAAAAUGUACCAAGAGAACAAACAAUGCACUCAUUUCACACAUUGUUUUGUCGUCGAUGUUUUAAAUAUGAUUGUUUUCUUCAUCCUCGCAGGGAAAUAUUAUCAGAAGGGCUUCAAGUUUGUCACCCAGGACCAAAUUUACAAAAACGUAAAGGACCAGAUUUAAAGCCAUUUUCUGAACCUUGUGGUAUUGAGUGUUACAUGCAUUUGGAAGGAGUUAAAGAAAAACUUGCAGCUGAGGCAGCUGAUACAAAAGAUGAUGAAGGUGAUGAAAAACGAGGACCUCGUAAAGUACGUAAACAAGCAAGUGUUGAUUCUGGCAAUGAGGCUAGUAGUGAAGACAGUAAUGACAGUAAUAAAUUUAGUCAAGGUGGAAGUUGUCAAGACUUCAAACAAAAUGUAAAUCAUGACUUAAAACCAGAAGACAUGGAAGAAGAUGAAGAAGAAGAACAAGCACAACCACAACCAGAUCAUCAAAGUCCAUUUACAUUACUUGGUCUUGUACCACGUACUAAAACAGAAAGUGAAUAUUCAUGGACUGGAUCUGAGCAGAGUUUAUUUCGUUCACUUCAUAAAGCAUUUCCUGGUAAUCCAUGUGCACUUGCACAAAUAAUGUUAACAAAAACAUGCAAAGAAGUUUAUGAAUUUACACAAAAAGAAUCACAUGAUAUACCAGCAAUUGAAAGUAUGAAAGAUUUUACACCACCACGUAAAAAGAAAAAGAAGCAUCGUUUAUGGUCAAUGCAUUGUCGUAAAAUACAAUUAAAAAAAGAUUCUGGUGCAAAUCAUGUACAUAAUUUUGCACCAUGUGAUCAUCCUGGACGUCCAUGUGAUAAUUCAUGUCCAUGUAUACAGGCACAAAAUUUUUGUGAAAAAUUUUGUCAAUGUAGCAGUGAAUGUCAAAAUAGAUUUCCUGGUUGUCGUUGUAAAGCACAAUGUAAUACAAAACAAUGUCCAUGUUAUCUUGCUGUACGUGAAUGUGAUCCAGAUCUUUGUCAAACAUGUGGUGCUGAUCAAUUUCAUAUAACUAAAAUAUCAUGUAAAAAUGUUAGUGUACAACGUGGUUUACAUAAACAUUUAUUAAUGGCACCAUCUGAUGUUGCUGGUUGGGGUAUAUUUUUAAAAGAAUCUGCUGGUAAAAAUGAAUUUAUAUCGGAAUAUUGUGGUGAAAUUAUAAGUCAAGAUGAAGCUGAUAGAAGAGGAAAAGUAUAUGAUAAAUAUAUGUGCAGUUUUCUAUUUAAUUUGAAUAAUGAUUUUGUUGUUGAUGCAACACGUAAAGGCAAUAAAAUAAGAUUUGCAAAUCAUUCAAUUAAUCCAAAUUGUUAUGCCAAAGUCAUGAUGGUUAAUGGAGAUCACAGAAUUGGUAUAUUUGCCAAAAGAGCAAUACAACCUGGUGAAGAAUUAUUUUUCGAUUACAGAUAUGGACCAACUGAGCAACUUAAAUUCGUUGGAAUUGAACGUGAAAUGGAAUUUUUAUAAGCAUGAGUAAGAAAAAAACAUUGAAAAAUCAUCAAAAUCAUGUAAAUAUAAAUAAUCAAUCAAAUUGACUAAUUUUUUUGCUUUUUUUUUCUACAAAAAUGUAUCGAAAUUAUUUAUACAAAACAAAAAUUGUGUGAUGUUAAUUCAUCAAAAAAAAAUUACGAAUAAUUUAAAAAAAAAAAAAAAAAUGUUAAUUCAAAAUGAAAUAAUAAUUAAGUAUAAUUAAUUAAUCAUUUUUUUUUUUUUAAAUUAUACAAAUCUAUUUACCCAAAAACAAACAGAAAAAAAUUAAGUGCCGUUAAAUUAUCAAAUAGUUAUUAAUUUAAAAAAAAUGAUAAUAAUAAUAAUUGUAUCUACUUGAGUCGUGUAGAGUAAAAUAAUAAUUAAUUAGUUAAUUAGGCUAGUUGCUGCAUGUAUAUACAGCAUUGUUAUCUUUUAUUUUUACUCUAAUUUUUUACUCUUUAAAAUACUUAGUGUUUUUAAACGACUAAACACGAAUAAAUAAAAAAGAAAAUAUUAUUUGAUGAAAUAAAUUUUUUAACAUUAGAAUUUAGUUGAAAAAUAAACUUUCAAAGAAAAAAUAAAUUACCCAGUGGUAACAUUGUGUAAGCCAAGUUUUCCCUUUAUAUUAUCAUUAUCUUUUUUUUUUUUUUUUCUAUUUUAUUUUACUGUAUAGCCUUAUUUUCGUACACACUCAUACGUUUUGUGUAGUUGAGCUUCCACUGAAAAGCUUACACGCAGCUUCUGCCACCAGUUGCAGACAUCGCGCCAACGUGAACGCGCGAUUCUCUUACAAUUUUAUCGUAACAUUGAAAAUUGUAUCUACUAAAUUACCAUCAUCAAUGAAUAGCUAUUUUAACUAGAUUAAAAAAAAAACUAAUUAAUAUUUUUUAAAGUUACCAGGAAUAAAAUUCUAUGGAAAUUUGUUUUUUUAUUUUUUUGUUUAUAAAAGUACUUGUUUAAGAAUUUUUUUUUUGCACGUGAAAAGUGUAACUGUAAGAGUGUUUUUGUAAAUUUAUUUUAAAUAUAUUUGUCAUUUUAUAUAUUUAUUAUUCUUUUUUAGAUUUAUUUCAAAAACUACGUGUGUUUAGAUGAGAAAGUCGGUCAACAGACGAAUAAUUAUUGCCUGACAUGCAGUUAUAAUAAUGAUGAUGAUGAUGAUGUAUUACAUGAUUGAGAGUGAAAGAAAAAUAUGAGAAGAAAAGACAACAAGAUAACGAGUAAAUACUGUAAUCAACAAAGGUAAACGGGGAAAAACACAAAACUCAUGAAAGUUUGGAAAUUGAUCACGU